RNAcentral lists this ribosomal RNA (483 nucleotides) under Fusarium sp. ATT015. RNAcentral's name for it is "eukaryotic LSU rRNA". The stretch from base 118 to 271 matches the Rfam family "5.8S ribosomal RNA". Lineage: Eukaryota; Fungi; Ascomycota; Sordariomycetes; Hypocreales; Nectriaceae. The record is from RNAcentral.
UACCUAUACGUUGCCUCGGCGGAUCAGCCCGCGCCCCGUAAAACGGGACGGCCCGCCCGAGGACCCCUAAACUCUGUUUUUAGUGGAACUUCUGAGUAAAACAAACAAAUAAAUCAAAACUUUCAACAACGGAUCUCUUGGUUCUGGCAUCGAUGAAGAACGCAGCAAAAUGCGAUAAGUAAUGUGAAUUGCAGAAUUCAGUGAAUCAUCGAAUCUUUGAACGCACAUUGCGCCCGCCAGUAUUCUGGCGGGCAUGCCUGUUCGAGCGUCAUUUCAACCCUCAAGCUCAGCUUGGUGUUGGGACUCGCGGUAACCCGCGUUCCCCAAAUCGAUUGGCGGUCACGUCGAGCUUCCAUAGCGUAGUAAUCAUACACCUCGUUACUGGUAAUCGUCGCGGCCACGCCGUAAAACCCCAACUUCUGAAUGUUGACCUCGGAUCAGGUAGGAAUACCCGCUGAACUUAAGCAUAUCAAUAAGCGGAGG